GAUUACGGCCAUACUACCUUAGGCACGCCCGAUCUCGUCUGAUCUCGGAAGCUAAGCAGGGUCGGGCCUGGUUAGUACUUGGAUGGGUGACCGCCUGGGAAUACCAGGUGCUGUAAGCA
Molecule: ribosomal RNA, 119 nt
Filed under: Gadus morhua (Atlantic cod)
Lineage: Eukaryota; Metazoa; Chordata; Actinopteri; Gadiformes; Gadidae
Source: RNAcentral